RNA transcript from Epinephelus fuscoguttatus (brown-marbled grouper), 2487 nucleotides. It is a transcript of the gene named synaptotagmin-like 3, with no coding region annotated. The transcript has 14 exons. NCBI's taxonomy places the organism in Eukaryota, Metazoa, Chordata, Actinopteri, Perciformes, Serranidae. The record is from RefSeq and is a predicted model, not a curated record.
CUGACGUGGACGGGGAACUGCGUGGAGAUCACAAUCAGGAGAUGUGGGGAUUUCACCAGCAGCACAUACUGUAGAAUAACCUUUACUACCUCACUGUUUGCUCUAUCAGCUGCAGAGGACUGAAGGAGGAGGUCUGUUUCCAGUAAGGGGGAGGGUACAAGAGGAGUGGAGGAGGAGACAGGAACAAAACAAAAGACAGUGAGGCAGAGACAGACAGACAGAAGAGGACCAGUGAGAGUGAUACACACGAUCAGAGACGACUAUUCAAAGAUGGAUUUAAGUUUGCUUCAAACUCUGGAGAGAGAACGAGUCCUGGAGGUUCUUCGGAGAGACAAGCAGCUGCGUGCCAUAGAAGACGACAGGAUAAGGAGGAUGAAACAUGAGCUCCAGGAGCUUCGACGUAGAGGUGCCAAGAGCUCCACCCGACAGUACGGCGAGCGGACCUGCGCCCGCUGCCAGAGGCCGCUGGGAAAGCUCUGGAACUCGGGCGCAGUCUGCCGCGGCUGUAGCCACCGGAUCUGCAGCAAGUGCCGUGUGUGCGUGGGAGCGGCGAACUGGAAGUGCACGGUCUGCCACGCCUACAGGGAGGUGAAGAUCAGGUCUGGAGAGUGGUUCUUAGAGGAGAAGGCAAAGAGAUUUCCGGUCACCACAGACAAAUAUGAGAUGGUCGGAGAAACACUGCUGAGGACCUACAAUGUGCUGAGCCAUAUAUCAGUGGUGCCUCCCACUCCUCCGCCCUACAUGGAAUAUCAUUACCUGAGCAGAUCUGGGGAUCUUAGAAACUCCAAACCUUUUACGAGUUCCAUGGAGAAUAUCAUGGUUUCUUUCGCCAGCCAUAUUAAAAAGACCUCCACCUCUCAGAGCGAUGUGCGAGGAGACCUGCUGAGAGUGGACAACCAGAGAGGGUCGCGCUUCACCUACAGCUCCCAAAAGAGCCUCUCUGACACUGACAUCAGCAAAGCGAGCCAUCUCUUCAAAGGCCCCAGUCUUCCAAACCUCUUCAAGAAAAACAGAGACAGCGACCAGGAUGGCUCCUCCACCGGGGCGGAAGAAGAAACUUCCUGCGGUUCUGAGUACUCUGGAGGAAGGAGAGGUAGCAGCAGUAGCAGCAUCAGCACAGACUGCAGCCUCUUCGAGAGCAUCAGCAUCGCAGGGGAGCUGGAGCUGGCCCUGGCCUACAACACCUACACCUCCUGUCUGGAGGUCACAGUCGGCGCCUGCAGAAAUCUCACCUGCGGAGACAGCAAGAAGAAGAAGUGUCACCCAUUCGUCAAACUCCACAUGCUGCCGGGAAAGAGCGGCAAGAUGAAGACGAGAGUGAAGAAAAACACGACUGAUCCGGUUUAUAAUGAAGUUUUUACGUUUAAACUAGAGCGCCACCUCCUGUUUGGAAAGAGACUGCGGGCCUCUGUGUGGCAUUCAGGAUCCCUGAAAAGGAAGGUGUUUCUCGGAGAGGUCCUUGUACCGCUGGACGGCUGGAGGUUUGAGGACAAGGACUCCCAGUGCUUCCACUGGUACCCACUUUGUGGAAAGGCUGAGAGUUCAGAGGGAGGCGCUGUGGAGCAGGACGGGGGAGAAAUGCUGGUCAGAGUCAAGUUCAGCUCCAACAACCAGGGUGUCUGACUGUGGGAGCAGGCAGAGAGCUCAUCAAAACGACGCCCAUUUGUCAGGGUGAGGCCGGGCGUGGGACGGCUCUUUGAACCCGGAGCUGUGGCCCCUCCUGCCUUUCUGAGGGACCCCUGAGGAGGGGCUCACACAGACCCUGGGUCACCAUGGCAACCGGUGUUGGACACCCUGACAGGUAGAGUGACGUCAGUUUCCCUGUUUCUUGCCAACGUCAACAUCAGGAGAAGAUGACAAAAUUCAACAUCUCUGCCCAACGACAAACUCAACACAUCAACAUGUUCACAGUGCUGCAGUAUUUACAUUGUGACAACUGUAAACUGGUCGUCAUUCAUUGUCUCUUUGUAAAGAAAUGUAUUUAAUUUAUUUAUCUGUCAAACUGAAUCACUUUAUGAUUAAAAAUAUUUAAGUCUGGAGCUUUAUGAUCCCUAUUUUUUGUACCCUGUAUUACAUGGUAUUAAAUAUGAGGGAAAAUAACAUGCUGAUGUUUAGCACGUUUAAUGUCCACCAUUUUCACCAUCUUAGUUUAGCAUGUUAUCAUAUUGAUGUUUGCUGGUUAGUACGAAACACAAAGCUCAGCUGAAACUGAUGGGAAUGUCAUUACUUUUGCAGAUAUGUUAUGAUUAAUCAUAGUUUCUAAAAGUAUGGCCCGCUGACCAGUGGCAGCCUUCAGAAACAUUUCGUGCGGACCCUGAACAUGACAUGCAUGUCAUCAAAAAAAGUCAUAGUAUAGUAUGUCAUCAUUUUUCAUCAAAAACAUCAAAGCAUUGUAUGUCAUUAUUUUUCCAUCAAAAAAGUCAUAGUAUAGUACGUCAUCAAUUUUUCCUACAAAAAGUUAUAAUAUAGAAUUUCCUCAUAUUUUCA